RNAcentral lists this ribosomal RNA (519 nucleotides) under uncultured bacterium. RNAcentral describes it as "partial 16S ribosomal RNA". It matches the Rfam family "Bacterial small subunit ribosomal RNA", at positions 28 to 507 of the family's 1533-position model. The record is from RNAcentral.
GACGAACGCUGGCGGCGUGCCUAAUACAUGCAAGUCGAGCGAGUCUGCCUUGAAGAUCGGAGUGCUUGCACUCUGUGAAACAAGAUACAGGCUAGCGGCGGACGGGUGAGUAACACGUGGGUAACCUGCCCAAGAGAUCGGGAUAACACCUGGAAACAGAUGCUAAUACCGGAUAACAACAGAUGAUGCCUAUCAACUGUUUAAAAGAUGGUUCUGCUAUCACUCUAGGAUGGACCUGCGGUGCAUUAGCUAGUUGGUAGGGUAACGGCCUACCAAGGCGAUGAUGCAUAGCCGAGUUGAGAGACUGAUCGGCCACAUUGGGACUGAGACACGGCCCAAACUCCUACGGGAGGCAGCAGUAGGGAAUCUUCCACAAUGGACGCAAGUCUGAUGGAGCAACGCCGCGUGAGUGAAGAAGGGUUUCGGCUCGUAAAGCUCUGUUGUUGGUGAAGAAGGACAGGGGUAGUAACUGACCUUUGUUUGACGGUAAUCAAUGAGAAAGUCACGGCUAACUAAGUG